Small nucleolar RNA from Trichomycterus rosablanca, 122 nucleotides. RefSeq annotates it as small nucleolar RNA SNORA32. The record is from RefSeq and is a predicted model, not a curated record. The transcript has a single exon. NCBI's taxonomy places the organism in Eukaryota, Metazoa, Chordata, Actinopteri, Siluriformes, Trichomycteridae.
UGGUCAUAUACCAAGGCUUUUGGGAGGUGCAGUUCCUGACUUGCUGUGGACAUGACCAAAAAUCAAACCCCAUCCCAUUGGAUCACCUCGGUUUUUGCUGUUGUGAUCCUUUGGGAACAUUU